Molecule: ribosomal RNA, 253 nt
Filed under: uncultured bacterium
Lineage: Bacteria
Description: partial 16S ribosomal RNA
Rfam family: Bacterial small subunit ribosomal RNA
Source: RNAcentral
UACGGGGGGGGCAAGCGUUGUUCGGAAUUACUGGGCGUAAAGCGCACGUAGGCGGAUUUGUUAGUCAGACGUGAAAUCCCUCGGCUUAACCGGGGAACUGCGUCUGAUACUGGAUGGCUUGAGUGUGGGAGAGGGAUGCGGAAUUCCAGGUGUAGCGGUGAAAUGCGUAGAGAUCAGGAAGAACACCGGUGGCGAAAGCGUUCUGCUAGACCUGUACUGACACUGAGGGACGAAAGCUAGGGGAGCGAAUGGG